This 677-nucleotide ribosomal RNA is filed under the name Planococcus sp. PF114. Its description in RNAcentral is "bacterial SSU rRNA". It matches the Rfam family "Bacterial small subunit ribosomal RNA", at positions 102 to 766 of the family's 1533-position model. The record is from RNAcentral. Lineage: Bacteria; Bacillati; Bacillota; Bacilli; Caryophanales; Caryophanaceae.
ACGGGUGAGUAACACGUGGGCAACCUGCCCUGCAGAUCGGGAUAACUCCGGGAAACCGGUGCUAAUACCGAAUAGUUUGCGGCCUCUCCUGAGGCUGUACGGAAAGACGGUUUCGGCUGUCACUGCAGGAUGGGCCCGCGGCGCAUUAGCUAGUUGGUGGGGUAAUGGCCUACCAAGGCGACGAUGCGUAGCCGACCUGAGAGGGUGAUCGGCCACACUGGGACUGAAACACGGCCCAGACUCCUACGGGAGGCAGCAGUAGGGAAUCUUCCGCAAUGGACGAAAGUCUGACGGAACAACGCCGCGUGAGUGACGAAGGUUUUCGGAUCGUAAAACUCUGUUGUGAGGGAAGAACAAGUACCAAGUAACUACUGGUACCUUGACGGUACCUCACCAGAAAGCCACGGCUAACUACGUGCCAGCAGCCGCGGUAAUACGUAGGUGGCAAGCGUUGUCCGGAAUUAUUGGGCGUAAAGCGCGCGCAGGCGGUUCCUUAAGUCCGAUGUGAAAGCCCACGGCUCAACCGUGGAGGGUCAUUGGAAACUGGGGAACUUGAGUGCAGAAGAAGAAAGUGGAAUUCCAUGUGUAGCGGUGAAAUGCGUAGAGAUGUGGAGGAACACCAGUGGCGAAGGCGACUUUCUGGUCUGUAACUGACGCUGAGGCGCGAAAGCGUGGGG